RNAcentral lists this ribosomal RNA (253 nucleotides) under uncultured bacterium. RNAcentral's name for it is "partial 16S ribosomal RNA". It matches the Rfam family "Bacterial small subunit ribosomal RNA", at positions 524 to 776 of the family's 1533-position model. The record is from RNAcentral.
UACGGGGGGGGCAAGCGUUGUUCGGAAUUACUGGGCGUAAAGGGCUCGUAGGUGGCCAACUAAGUCGGACGUGAAAUCCCUCAGCUUAACUGGGGAACUGCGUCCGAUACUGGAUGGCUUGAGUUUGGGAGAGGGAUGCGGAAUUCCAGGUGUAGCGGUGAAAUGCGUAGAUAUCUGGAGGAACACCGGUGGCGAAGGCGGCAUCCUGGACCAACACUGACGCUGAGAAGCGAAAGCAUGGGGAGCGAACAGG